This 169-nucleotide small nuclear RNA is filed under the name Ornithorhynchus anatinus (platypus). RNAcentral describes it as "U1 spliceosomal RNA (ENSOANG00000016776.3)". It matches the Rfam family "U1 spliceosomal RNA". Rfam says of the family: U1 is a small nuclear RNA (snRNA) component of the spliceosome (involved in pre-mRNA splicing). Its 5' end forms complementary base pairs with the 5' splice junction, thus defining the 5' donor site of an intron. Lineage: Eukaryota; Metazoa; Chordata; Mammalia; Monotremata; Ornithorhynchidae. The record is from RNAcentral.
AUACUUACUGUGCAGGGGAGACACCACGAUCAUAUAAGUGCUUUACCCAGGGUGAGGCUAAUCCAUUGCACCCCGAAUGAGCUGACCCCUGUGACUCCCCCAAAUAUGGGAAACUCAUCUGCAAAAUCUGUGGUAGUGGGGGACUGUGUAGAGAAGCUGGAUGGCCUAG